Molecule: ribosomal RNA, 374 nt
Filed under: uncultured organism
Description: bacterial SSU rRNA
Rfam family: Bacterial small subunit ribosomal RNA
Source: RNAcentral
CGGGGGGAGCAAGCGUUGUUCGGAUUUACUGGGCGUAAAGGGCGCGUAGGCGGCCACCGCAAGUCAAUUGUGAAAUCUCCGGGCUUAACUCGGAAAGGUCAACUGAUACUGCGGGGCUAGAGUGCGGAAGGGGCAACUGGAAUUCUCGGUGUAGCGGUGAAAUGCGUAGAUAUCGAGAGGAACACCUGCGGCGAAGGCGGGUUGCUGGGCCGACACUGACGCUGAGGCGCGAAAGCUAGGGGAGCGAACGGGAUUAGAUACCCCGGUAGUCCUAGCCUUAAACGAUGAAUGCUUGGUGUCUGGGGUUACAAAGUCCCCGGGUGCCGUCGCUAACGCUUUAAGCAUUCCGCCUGGGGAGUACGGUCGCAAGACUG